This 107-nucleotide small nuclear RNA is filed under the name Salvator merianae (Argentine black and white tegu). Lineage: Eukaryota; Metazoa; Chordata; Lepidosauria; Squamata; Teiidae. The record is from RNAcentral.
GUGCUCACUUCGGCAGCACAUAUACUAAAAUUGGAACGAUACAGAGAAGAUUAGCGUGGCCCCUGCACAAGGAUGACACGNAAAUUCAUGAAGCAUUCCAUAUUUUU